GUGGGGAAUUUUGGACAAUGGGCGAAAGCCUGAUCCAGCCAUGCCGCGUGUGUGAAGAAGGUCUUCGGAUUGUAAAGCACUUUAAGUUGGGAGGAAGGGCAGUAAGUUAAUACCUUGCUGUUUUGACGUUACCGACAGAAUAAGCACCGGCUAACUUCGUGCCAGCAGCCGCGGUAAUACGAAGGGUGCAAGCGUUAAUCGGAAUUACUGGGCGUAAAGCGCGCGUAGGUGGUUUUGUAAGUUGGAGGUGAAAUCCCCGGGCUCAACCUGGGAACUGCCUCCAAAACUGCAUGACUAGAGUACGGUAGAGGGUAGUGGAAUUUCCUGUGUAGCGGUGAAAUGCGUAGAUAUAGGAAGGAACACCAGUGGCGAAGGCGACUACCUGGACUGAUACUGACACUGAGGUGCGAAAGCGUGGGGAGCAAACAGGAUUAGAAACCCCAGUAGUCC
Molecule: ribosomal RNA, 450 nt
Filed under: uncultured bacterium
Lineage: Bacteria
Description: partial 16S ribosomal RNA
Rfam family: Bacterial small subunit ribosomal RNA
Source: RNAcentral